GAUGAACGCUAGCGGCAGGCCUAAUACAUGCAAGUCGGACGGGAUUUGGGAGCUUGCUCCUAAUGAGAGUGGCGCACGGGUGCGUAACACGUAUGUAACCUACCUUAAUCAGGGGGAUAGCCUCUCGAAAGAGAGAUUAACACCGCAUAAUAUAUUUUUAUGGCAUCGUAGAAAUAUCAAAUAUUUAUAGGAUUAAGAUGGGCAUGCGGAACAUUAGCUAGUUGGUAAGGUAACGGCUUACCAAGGCUACGAUGUUUAGGGGAUCUGAGAGGAUGACCCCCCACACUGGUACUGAGACACGGACCAGACUCCUACGGGAGGCAGCAGUAAGGAAUAUUGGUCAAUGGGCGCAAGCCUGAACCAGCCAUGCCGCGUGCAGGAAGACGGCCCUAUGGGAUGUAAACUGCUUUUGUACCGGAAUAAACCCUUUUACGUGUAAGAGGCUGAAUGUACGGUAAGAAUAAGGAUCGGCUAACUCCGUGCCAGCAGCCGCCGUAA
This 498-nucleotide ribosomal RNA is filed under the name uncultured bacterium. RNAcentral's name for it is "partial 16S ribosomal RNA". It matches the Rfam family "Bacterial small subunit ribosomal RNA", at positions 28 to 523 of the family's 1533-position model. The record is from RNAcentral.